This 506-nucleotide long non-coding RNA is filed under the name Phasianus colchicus (ring-necked pheasant). Its description in RNAcentral is "lncRNA (ENSPCLG00000017045.1)". The record is from RNAcentral. Lineage: Eukaryota; Metazoa; Chordata; Aves; Galliformes; Phasianidae.
UGGAUACCUUCCAUACAUAUAUUUAUUUAUCAUCUUUCACCCCAUCAGCAAGUUAGUGUGAAAGAUCUUGCUUUUACUGUCUGGAGGCUGAUUUACCAUAGAGGAAACCUAUAUCAUCAAUUGCUAACUGGGGAUUAUAAGAAGAGCUGCAAACAACUAGUGGAAGAAAAAAAGAAUCAAAUACACCAUAUAGAUGCAGAUCCUAUGGAGAAACUGAACCACUAAACAUGGAAUUCAGAAAUGCAGAUUUAAGGCUCAAGCUAGAGGAAAGGAUGCAGUGAGAGGAGACAUCCCGUUGCUGCUUGUGUAGAACUGCUAGAUUAAUUAGUGUUGAAACCUGCUGUCAAUUCCUUGUUCAUUUGUUAACUAGAACAAGCCAUUUUUUAUUCAGUCUGAAAAUGAAGGUGUGGCAACCAGAAGAUUUGCAUUUUUCUUUUUAUUACCAAGAAUGAUGAUCAAAGCUUUGUAAGAAUAAACGUGUGACACUUGCAGAAAAUUUCUUCUUU